UCCUUCCAGCACCUGAGAUUAUUACUGGUAUUUCUUAAAAUGUAUAAAUGAUGACAGCAAUUAUCAUCCCAAUGAAGAGGAUGGACUUGGUUCUGAGGCUGCUGGUUCCUUCAUUGUUUGGCUUGAUAUGAAUCACAACUAUAAGAU
Octopus sinensis (East Asian common octopus) is the source of this 147-nucleotide long non-coding RNA. RefSeq lists it as uncharacterized. The record is from RefSeq and is a predicted model, not a curated record. NCBI's taxonomy places the organism in Eukaryota, Metazoa, Mollusca, Cephalopoda, Octopoda, Octopodidae. The transcript has 3 exons.